GUGACGUCGAUCAGUAGAACC
Molecule: ribosomal RNA, 21 nt
Filed under: Teratosphaeria nubilosa
Lineage: Eukaryota; Fungi; Ascomycota; Dothideomycetes; Mycosphaerellales; Teratosphaeriaceae
Description: partial 28S ribosomal RNA
Source: RNAcentral